GAUGAACGCUGGCGGCGUGCUUAACACAUGCAAGUCGAACGGUGAAGGCGGAGCUUGCUCUGCUGGAUCAGUGGCGAACGGGUGAGUAACACGUGAGCAAUCAGCCCCUGACUCUGGGAGAUGCGCUGGAAACGGAGUCUAAUACUGGAUAAGAGCUGCGAAGGCAUCUUCAGCAGCUGGAAAGAAUGUCGGUCAGGGAUGGGCUCGCGGCCUAUCAGCUUGUUGGUGAGGUAGUGGCACACCAAGGCGACGACGGGUAGCCGGCCUGGGAGGGGGACCUGCCCCACCGCGACUGAUACACGGCCCAGACUCCUCCGGGAGGCAGCAGUGGGGAAUAUUGCACAAUGGGCGAAAGCCUGAUCCAGCAACGCCGCGUGAGGGACGACGUCCAUCGGGUUGUAAACCUCUGCUAGCAUGGAAGAAGCGAUAGUGACGGUACCUGCAGAAUAAGCGCCGGCUAACUACGUG
Molecule: ribosomal RNA, 468 nt
Filed under: uncultured bacterium
Lineage: Bacteria
Description: partial 16S ribosomal RNA
Rfam family: Bacterial small subunit ribosomal RNA
Source: RNAcentral